GGCCGGGAUUCGAAAUUAUGCUAGGUAUAUAUCAUGGCACCAAAUCGCCUUGCCUUAUGACCGACGCGUUAUUGAAAUGUUAUUUAUUACUUUGGCAUUUAAUUCACCCCAGGUCUGCUUUAUAUAAUCGUCAUAACAUCAGCCCAACAAUGUUAGAUCUGUAAAUUUGAUUUUGCAAAUAUUUUGUUUUUCUCUCGCCGGGAAUCGAACUCAUGCUACUGAGAUAUCGUAACUCCAUUCGCCUUGCACUGUAUCCGACACACUAGACCACUCGGCCACACAUCAAUAAAGCUUUCGGUCGCCGGGUGGUACCUUUCCUCGUCACUCGUAAUACAGUACAUGGUAUACAAGGUAUACAAGGCAUGACAUAUCUAUUGUAAAGGAUUCUACAAAUAAAUGCAAGAUACAG
This 409-nucleotide long non-coding RNA is filed under the name Mytilus galloprovincialis (Mediterranean mussel). The record is from RNAcentral. Lineage: Eukaryota; Metazoa; Mollusca; Bivalvia; Mytilida; Mytilidae.